GUCUUCGGAUGCUGACGAGUGGCGAACGGGUGAGUAAUACAUCGGAACGUGCCUAGUAGUGGGGGAUAACUACUCGAAAGAGUAGCUAAUACCGCAUGAGAUCUACGGAUGAAAGCAGGGGACCUUCGGGCCUUGUGCUACUAGAGCGGCUGAUGGCAGAUUAGGUAGUUGGUGGGGUAAAAGCUUACCAAGCCUGCGAUCUGUAGCUGGUCUGAGAGGACGACCAGCCACACUGGGACUGAGACACGGCCCAGACUCCUACGGGAGGCAGCAGUGGGGAAUUUUGGACAAUGGGCGAAAGCCUGAUCCAGCAAUGCCGCGUGCAGGAUGAAGGCCCUCGGGUUGUAAACUGCUUUUGUACGGAACGAAAAGCCUGGGGCUAAUAUCCCCGGGUCAUGACGGUACCGUAAGAAUAAGCACCGGCUAACUACGUGCCAGCAGCCGCGGUAAUACGUAGGGUGCAAGCGUUAAUCGGAAUUACUGGGCGUAAAGCGUGCGCAGGCGGUUUUGUAAGACAGUGGUGAAAUCCCCGGGCUCAACCUGGGAACUGCCAUUGUGACUGCAAGGCUAGAGUGCGGCAGAGGGGGAUGGAAUUCCGCGUGUAGCAGUGAAAUGCGUAGAUAUGCGGAGGAACACCGAUGGCGAAGGCAAUCCCCUGGGCCUGCACUGACGCUCAUGCACGAA
Molecule: ribosomal RNA, 684 nt
Filed under: uncultured beta proteobacterium
Lineage: Bacteria; Pseudomonadati; Pseudomonadota; Betaproteobacteria
Description: bacterial SSU rRNA
Rfam family: Bacterial small subunit ribosomal RNA
Source: RNAcentral